GGCAUCUAUAUACAAAAUAUGAAGCAUCCAGGUCUUCCACCUUCUAAAAUAUAUAGCUUUUAAGAAGUGAGCUAACACCGCCGCCGCCGCCGCAGCGCCGUAGCCGUCGCGCCGGAUCACUAUCCCUAUGUCGAGCUUUCUGCAACAAAAGUUGCAGGCUCGACAAAAACUAGAAGGCCUGCUUCAUAUUCGGAUCUUUAUAUUAACACAGACAUAGAUGGACUACGUCAAACUAGCAUACGGAUUUCUGACAAACGUGACGAUAACAACUUUAAAAAUCUCAUCUUACCAUUCUUCAGAAGUAACAUUCCGUCGGGCCCAUCGUAUGCCGUUUUAGUUAGAAAGUACCAUCAGAGGUAGAAGUUUUGAAGUCUUCUUCACACAAUUAUUAAUUUAAAAAUCAAUGCUAAACUUUAAAACGUUUUUGUUCCGUCGAACCUUUUUUUCUCUCUCGAAAAUUUAAUAUAAAAACAAAUAUCUAUUUUUACCUUCAUUUUAGUUAAAUUUGG
RNAcentral lists this long non-coding RNA (509 nucleotides) under Mytilus galloprovincialis (Mediterranean mussel). Lineage: Eukaryota; Metazoa; Mollusca; Bivalvia; Mytilida; Mytilidae. The record is from RNAcentral.